GAAUAUUGGACAAUGGGGGGAACCCUGAUCCAGCCAUGCCGCGUGUGUGAAGAAGGCGUUUUGGUUGUAAAGCACUUUAAGCGAGGAGGAGGCUACUCUAGUUAAUACCUAGAGCUAGUGGCCGUUACUCGCAGAAUAAGCACCUGCUAACCCUGUGCCAGCCUCCGCGGUAAUCCAGAGGGUGCAAGCGUUAAUCGGAUUUACUGGGCGUAAAGCGCGCGUAGGUGGCCAAUUAAGUCAAAUGUGAAAUCCCCGAGCUUAACUUGGGAAUUGCAUUCGAUACUGGUUGGCUAGAGUAUGGGAGAGGAUGGUAGAAUUCCAGGUGUAGCGGUGAAAUGCGUAGAGAUCUGGAGGAAUACCGAUGGCGAAGGCAGCCAUCUGGCCUAAUACUGACACUGAGGUGCGAAAGCAUGGGGAGCAAACA
Molecule: ribosomal RNA, 424 nt
Filed under: uncultured bacterium
Lineage: Bacteria
Description: bacterial SSU rRNA
Rfam family: Bacterial small subunit ribosomal RNA
Source: RNAcentral